GAUCCUGGCUCAGGAUGAACGCUAGCUACAGGCUUAACACAUGCAAGUCGAGGGGAAACGACAUCGAAAGCUUGCUUUUGAUGGGCGUCGACCGGCGCACGGGUGAGUAACGCGUAUCCAACCCGCCCAUCACUUGGGAAUAACCUUGCGAAAGUAAGACUAAUGCCCAAUGACAUCCCACGAAGGCAUCCGAAUGGGAUUAAAGAUUUAUCGGUGAUGGAUGGGGAUGCGUCUGAUUAG
Molecule: ribosomal RNA, 240 nt
Filed under: uncultured bacterium
Lineage: Bacteria
Description: partial 16S ribosomal RNA
Rfam family: Bacterial small subunit ribosomal RNA
Source: RNAcentral